Molecule: long non-coding RNA, 209 nt
Filed under: Prunus persica (peach)
Lineage: Eukaryota; Viridiplantae; Streptophyta; Magnoliopsida; Rosales; Rosaceae
Description: long non-coding RNA (PPER_LNC002163)
Source: RNAcentral
GGUUGGCUUAAUCUCUCCCUGUCAUUGGUGUAUGGAAGGAUAUAUUGCCUCGUUAGUGUAGACUUGAAAUCCUUCCCUUUCUUGGCAGCAGAAGCUAACACAGAGCUCUUGCCCCCUUGACCUACCACAAAAGCAAGGUCAACUGCUUCCCAAAUCUGCUCCUUUAUAUCCUUGGGGAUUUGAGCCCAUUUCAUGUCCACAAGUGGAAC